This 252-nucleotide ribosomal RNA is filed under the name uncultured bacterium. RNAcentral describes it as "partial 16S ribosomal RNA". It matches the Rfam family "Bacterial small subunit ribosomal RNA", at positions 524 to 776 of the family's 1533-position model. The record is from RNAcentral.
UACGUAGGGGGCAAGCGUUAUCCGGAAUUAUUGGGCGUAAAGAGUACGUAGGUGGCAACCUAAGCGCAGGGUUUAAGGCAAUGGCUCAACCAUCGUUCGCCCUGCGAACUGGGAUGCUUGAGUGCAGGAGAGGAAAGCGGAAUUCCUAGUGUAGCGGUGAAAUGCGUAGAUAUUAGGAGGAACACCAGUGGCGAAGGCGGCUUUCUGGACUGUAACUGACACUGAGGUACGAAAGCGUGGGGAGCAAACAGG